RNAcentral lists this non-coding RNA (180 nucleotides) under Desulfobacteraceae bacterium. Its description in RNAcentral is "6S RNA". It matches the Rfam family "6S / SsrS RNA". Rfam says of the family: E. coli 6S RNA was the first non coding RNA to be sequenced, but its function was unknown until recently. It consists of 184 nucleotides that fold into an extended hairpin structure with a large single-stranded internal bulge. The 6S RNA specifically associates with RNA polymerase holoenzyme containing the sigma70 specificity factor. The record is from RNAcentral. Lineage: Bacteria; Pseudomonadati; Thermodesulfobacteriota; Desulfobacteria; Desulfobacterales; Desulfobacteraceae.
CUACCCCUGCUGUGCGCGUGAUUGGAAGAUGUGCUUUGACCCAACACUUUUGCUUAAGGGGGCCGAGACUGGCUUCGGUGUGCAAGUUCUGCAUGUUCAGAAAAGCCUAAAGAAGUCGCAAGGCGCCCACUUGCCUUUUUGGAUCAAAGGCCGCCCAACACGGCAUCUGGCGGGGGUAUU